Oxyura jamaicensis (ruddy duck) is the source of this 5129-nucleotide long non-coding RNA. RefSeq lists it as uncharacterized. NCBI's taxonomy places the organism in Eukaryota, Metazoa, Chordata, Aves, Anseriformes, Anatidae. The transcript has 3 exons. The record is from RefSeq and is a predicted model, not a curated record.
CAGCAGAUGCUGCAAGGCUGUCUGGUUUCACAGUGGUAGCUUCGUGUUCUCCCUGCUCCCCAUGACCAAGAUGUCUGUGCUUGCUGCUGCCUUGCCCUGUGGCCCGGUGAGUGCCUGGCCUCAGCUGGCACCAAUUGGUGCAGUGCUGUGCACGCACGGCUCGUCCCAGGUGUCCUGCCCGGAUUGAUGUGAAAAUAUGAGGCAGCAAAACUCAUCAGCGUUAAUUAGUUCAUGGUAUGUUUUCUUUCCUGGUGAUGAAGACAAAUUGCCUUUUCCAAGACUGGGCCCAUGUUAACAAUUUUGAAUGCUGCAUUUGAAGAAGGCUUCUGAGAAUAAGGCUCCUGCUGCCCACGCUGUGGCUGCACCAAGCCACAGAUCCUCCAAGGUGCUGUUGAGUGACACUGCUCGUACAUUGUUUUAUAAAAAGAGUGAGAACUGCACCCUUAUUGCUGGAGAGGCACAAUGUGGUGAGGAAGAGGGAAAUGGAGCUGGUACACAAGACAGUAAUUGGGAGAGACUGGUCAGAGACUUAUUUUUUUCAAGUAAAUAUUCUCAGCUGUGUAGAAAUACCUCUUGUGUGGACACUUGUGUUACAGAAGUGGCUGGUGGCACUUGGUGCGUGGCUUUGACCCCUAGGCAAAGGCUCGGUGGUCUGGGGGCAACUCACCUGCAGCUGGCCGCAGGAGCCAUCAUUUGUCUCCAGCAGGCCCACCUCCUGCACCUUCAGCUUUGCAGAAGAGCCGGGUGUGAGACUGGAUGUGAAUAAUAAACUGCUCGUUCUCAUCAGUACACCCACAAAAGUGGAAGUGCGCAUGUUAGCAGGAAGGCGAGAGGGAAGGUCAGCGCGGUAUGUGCUGCUGGAGGUCCUGCAGGCGGGCGUUACCGAUUCCAGUCAUGCCUCGGGCUGGCACAGCGACACAUUCCUGGGACACCUUGAAGACAGAGGAGAGAACUGAUCUGAGGUGGCCAGAGCUGGCUGUGCUGACCUUACUCCUGGCAGAUAGCCGCUCUCUCCGCUCUGGCCCAACCACGCCACCCACCAGAGAGCAACGCAAUCAAAUGUGGAGGAGGAGCACCGCCACUACGCUGCUGGGCUCAAGGGCACAAAGGACUGCACGACACUCAGGACCUGGGCAAUGCAUCAACUGACAGCAGCUUCCUGGAGCAAAGGGCUCUUCUGCCUUUGAUGCAUCUGAGCAACUCCAAACUAAUACCAGCACACGCCGAAUGGUGAAUAGACCUUUAUGUUGAUGAGGCAAAUCCUGAGGCACUUAAAAGCAAGCUGCACUGAAGUGUCCCAUGUAUCUCUGUCUUCAAAGUGCAACACACGUAUGGAAAUUGCAGAUGCUGUGGUGCUAUUUGUCUGGAAGGAGACAUUACGGAUGACAUAUGAACCUGAUUUCUCAAACAGAUGAGGUCUGUGAGAGGCUUAAGGAAACAUCUAUAAAUUAAGAUGCAGAAUAAAGUUCCCGCUGCCUUCCUUGGCCCCUCUCUCAUUGGCUCGAGAGCCAAGUGCUGGCAGCUGUGUGCUUGGCAGAGCACCAGGCAUCCUCUUCGCCCUGUACCUGACCACGGGCAGGCUUCAUGACGCAGCAGGCACAGCCCCAGCACCCAGUGCUGCUGGCAGUGCCCCCUCCCCAGCCUCCGUCCCCUGCAAGCAGGACUGGUGCUUGCUCCACGUGUUCAUCCUGAAACGCUCGGCUUGGCCCCUUCUGCGCUCUGCGGCAGCCUCCUCGCCGGGCCAUGCUUCCUAAGGAGACACAAGGUGGUGGAGUGAAACCAAAUUCCUGCUGCCAUCUUCAGCUCUGCCCUGAUAAUGCAUGAGCCGUGGAACAGCCGUGCUGGGGUAUCCCCCACCCCAAAACCUCCCGCAGCCGGACCCCAUCCUGGCUGCAGUGGGGAGAGCACCCAGCACCUUUCCAGGGACCAGGGACCUGUGCCAGACGGGCACUGCUCCCAAACCAGCGCCGAGAAGUGAGUGUCGAGAGUCCUGAGGUGUUUUUAUGACUCCUAUCCAGCACUCACGGUGACAGAGCAAAUGGGAAAGCAUCAAAAUCUGUUGAUUUUUCUUCCAAACAGAUUUUUUUGUUGUCGCAGUGGAUAUAGAUGGAUUAUUUUUAGAAAGAGUGAGAUAAAUCAAAGCCGUGAAGGUCUGUAUCAGCCAGAACAACCUGGAUCGGUCUGAACUGCAUCUUUUUCCCUGACUCGGUCAGAAAAUGCUCUCUUUAUGUGACUCCACGGACUGCAUAAGGGAAAACACACAGCAAGAAAUUACUCUUUUCUUUGUGAGCACAGACCUAGGUGUGUAAGGCCCAUGAUGGGAAGGCAGAUAAAGGGACAGCGAUAAGCUGGUUUGAUCAUGGUUACAGCAGUGCCUUUGCCAGCCCCCACUGAAGCAGCCUGUCGGGCAGCGCUGUCCCCUCGGGACCACACUGCCAGCACAGGCAGUAAGGAAGGAGGAAGAGAUAGAGGAGUUUGUCUUUGUCUUUAGGGUUUCACCCAUUUUGACUGCACACCAAGUCUGGAGCAACCCCUAAAAAGCAUCCCGGGGCACCCAGGCUGCACCCACGACAUGAGCCACUUCACAGGUUGGCUUCAAGUGGUUUCCUUUUUGUCAGCACAGUCUGCUUCACGGGAAGAAGGAAAAUCUCCAGAUUUGAGACAUAAAAAAAGGCAUCAGGCAAAGACACAAAGGUAGUUCCAUUUGUUUCAUUGCAGAUAACGGGUGGCAGCUACCAUUUCGAGAUCAAGUCUGCUGAAGACCUCCAGCUGACACCACCGGUUAUGGACGAUCUGUCAUUAACCGUACACAGUUAUUAUAUCUCUUCUUUGAUAGCUGCCACCUCAGGACUUUCCACUUGGGCUGCACACAAGUUCUUGUUUCGUAAGAUUUACAAGGAAAAAUAAAAACUAGGAAAAAUCCUGCUCUCCCAGAAGCUGUCCUGCGUGCUGGGGGGAGCAGCCCCAUCCUGGACACAGCGCUCGCCCUCUGCACAGCUCCAUCCCUCCAGCCUACUCCAGCCUUCCCGCAGCAGGAGCAGGUCUGCAGGGGAAGCUGCAGCUCUUUAACCAGAGGUUGUUCCACCUGCGCUGGGGCUGGAGUGCCCUGACACACCCUGUGCCAUGCUUAUAGAAACAGGAGUUCACGCUGCAGCAUUGUGCUUCCUCCUGCAUUUUUGGUUUUCUGUGGCUCUUGCUCUUCUGCCUGGCUGAGAUGUUUGUGUCAGCCAACCCGUGAAAAUCUGGCACUGAAAUGGGACUGUGCUGCAGUGUUUUCUCGCUAUGUAGUUCACGAUCCCUCCUGUUCCCAACAAAUCACAGUAAUCGUAAGGGCUGCCAAGCCUUGCUACAUCUUCCUGAAGCCAAAAGCAGCUCUGGGAUAUUUAUUCCACCAGUUCCAGCAGUUUGACAUGCUGUAGUUGAUGCUGUAGCCAUGAUGGAAGUGGCUCUGAAGGCAACCCCAGAAAAUCAGAGGCUGAAAUUCAGCACUCAGGAGCAUAAGACCUGCUUUAACUCGGGGGCCUGCUGCCAGCCGUGAGAACCUUGGUGGGAGACAUCAGUAGGGGGGCAAACCUGGCUGUGGCUUUGCAAGCCACAAAGCACCUGCUCCAUUUCCAUUUCACAAAAGUCAAGAUUCAUCCAGAUGUGUUUCACCAGAAACUCCAAAUUUCAGCAAGAUACCAGGAUAGACAUUGUCAGAUUUGCUCCCUCUCUGCUAAAAGCAUCCAUGAGUGAAACCAAACUGUUGCCACAGACCCUUGCAAUGUUUUUAUUUGCUUGCUAUGGUGCCACAAGCUAUAUAUAUUGGGCAGACAGAGGCUGGCCUGGUGGACAGAGGGCUGGAGAUGGCCCACAGCCCAGUGCUAAACAGAGGUGAGGAAAUACUCUCCACUAACGAACCUCAGGACUCUGUGUGGUGCUCUCGACCAGCCUCCUUGCUGCUGCUCUCAUCCUACGGAGGGGAGCAGGCAAAAUGGUUCCUUCCUCAGCAUAACCUCCCUUCCAGCCAGUCUUUCUAACGUGAAGCUAUUCAAAUUAAACCACAAAUCUUCUCGUCUGGGGAUAAUGCUCUACUGUCUUCCCAAACCUGUUCUCAUUUUCCUUUGCUGUUUUGACACCAUUAGCCUUCCAAAAGUGCUAGCGCGCACACAGAGAUAAUGCUGUCAAUUUUAGUGUGCUUGGAAAGGCACAGAGCAGCCUAAACUCAGCCAAAUGCUUGGCUUUGGCUUUUCCCUAUCAUAUAAUAUCCUUUUGUCCAUAGCUCUGCAUGGCAGCUCAUUUAUAUCAAAUUUGACCAGUUAAGGGAGAGGGAAGAGGGGUAAUCAAUAGUUAUCUUGACAAAGAGAUCUGAAGUCAAUAGACUGACGUUUUCCACCAGCUGAGCAUCAGCCUCUUUGGUUUUCUUCCCGGUGUGUGGCAGAACCGGCCUUUUAUACACUAGCAAAGCUCACAUCAUCUCGUUGGCCCGGCACAGCCUCGCUCACCCGCGGAGCCCCAAAAGCUGCCCUCCGCCUGGCCAGCUCCGGGCGCCUCGUGGCUAGGAGGAGCUGUGCACCAGGGGGCAACGUGUGCUGCCACAGCUGCAGGAGCAGGAGCCUUCCAAAAAAUAAAGGAUGCGUUGUAAUCAAGUCGUGCAUGAGGAGCUGGUCUUCGGGCACUGCUUUCUCAUACGGAUUUUCACACAGAUGGUCCCAGGUCCCGGGACUCUUCCCCAGUCCACGCAGCAGCUCACUGGGAGCAGCCACAAGCUGUGCCCCCACAGACCCCCGGAGAUCACCCCCAAAUGGAGAGGUGGGAGGAAGAAAGCAAGCAUUUCUCCCUCAAUUAGGAUUUUCUAAAUCAGCAGAUCCCUUCCGUAUGCGUGGUUUUUACAUCAAGCACGGUGUAGAAAAAAAUCAAUUUGUUUUUCUCAGUCCAAUUCCCCUCUGUCUAAUAGGUCUGUUGUAAACGCCAAUUUUACUGUCAUUUACACAGUGCUCAUUUGAGCUAUUUUAUCAAUAGUUAAAUAAGAAUACUUUAAAGUAAUGUGAUUUUUUUUAUUUGAAUUCCAAUUUAUGUUUGGAUGGUUUGACACAAAUCUAGUAAGGAAAGCUCACUAUUUUAAUAGAACAAAUUAAAUUAUAUGUUAU